CACGUAGGGCGCAAGCGUUGUCCGGAAUUAUUAGGCGUAAAGAGCUCGUAGGCGGUCCGUCACGUCCGCUGUGAAAACCCAGGGCUCAACCCUGGGCUUGCAGUGGAUACGGGCAGACUAGAGGUAGGUAGGGGAGAAUGGAAUUCCCGGUGUAGCGGUGAAAUGCGCAGAUAUCGGGAGGAACACCGGUGGCGAAGGCGGUUCUCUGGGCCUUACCUGACGCUGAGGAGCGAAAGCGUGGGGAGCAAACAGG
This 253-nucleotide ribosomal RNA is filed under the name uncultured bacterium. Its description in RNAcentral is "partial 16S ribosomal RNA". It matches the Rfam family "Bacterial small subunit ribosomal RNA", at positions 524 to 776 of the family's 1533-position model. The record is from RNAcentral.